This 301-nucleotide ribosomal RNA is filed under the name uncultured bacterium. RNAcentral describes it as "partial 16S ribosomal RNA". It matches the Rfam family "Bacterial small subunit ribosomal RNA", at positions 509 to 807 of the family's 1533-position model. The record is from RNAcentral.
CAGUCGCCGCGGGAAUACGUAGGUGGCAAGCGUUGUCCGGAAUUAUUGGGCGUAAAGGGCUCGCAGGCGGUUUCUUAAGUCUGAUGUGAAAGCCCCCGGCUCAACCGGGGAGGGACAUUGGAAACUGGGAAACUUGAGUGCAGAAGAGGAGAGUGGAAUUCCACGUGUGGCGGUGAAAUGCGUAGAGAUGUGGAGGAACACCAGUGGCGAAGGCGACUCUCUGGUCUGUAACUGACGCUGAGGAGCGAAAGCGUGGGGAGCGAACAGGAUUAGAUACCCCUGUAGUCCCUGUCUCUUAUAC